Molecule: ribosomal RNA, 253 nt
Filed under: uncultured bacterium
Lineage: Bacteria
Description: partial 16S ribosomal RNA
Rfam family: Bacterial small subunit ribosomal RNA
Source: RNAcentral
UACGAAGGGGGCUAGCGUUGUUCGGAAUUACUGGGCGUAAAGCGCACGUAGGCGGACAUUUAAGUCAGGGGUGAAAUCCCAGAGCUCAACUCUGGAACUGCCUUUGAUACUGGGUGUCUUGAGUAUGGAAGAGGUGAGUGGAAUUCCGAGUGUAGAGGUGAAAUUCGUAGAUAUUCGGAGGAACACCAGUGGCGAAGGCGACUUUCUGGCCUGUUCUUGACGCUGAGGCGCGAAAGCUAGGGGAGCAAACGGG